CAAGUCGAACGGGAACAUGGGUAGCAAUACCUGAUGACGAGUGGCGCACGGGUGCGUAACACGUAUGCAACCUACCUAUAACUGGGGAAUAGCCCUCCGAAAGGAGGAUUAACACCGCAUAACAUCAUUCUACGGCAUCGCAGAAUGAUCAAACCUCCGGGGGUUAUAGAUGGGCAUGCGGAACAUUAGCUAGUUGGUGAGGUAACGGCUCACCAAGGCCACGAUGUUUAGGGGGUCUGAGAGGAUGAUCCCCCACACUGGUACUGAGACACGGACCAGACUCCUACGGGAGGCAGCAGUAAGGAAUAUUGGACAAUGGGGGCAACCCUGAUCCAGCCAUGCCGCGUGAAGGAUGAAGGCGCUCUGCGUUGUAAACUUCUUUUGUACGGGAAUAAACCCCUCUACGUGUAGAGGGUUGAAUGUACCGUAAGAAUAAGGAUCGGCUAACUUCGUGCCAGCAGCCGCGGUAAUACGAAGGAUCCAAGCGUUAUCCGGAUUUAUUGGGUUUAAAGGGUGCGUAGGCGGGCUAUUAAGUCAGUGGUGAAAGCCCCAAGCUUAACUUGGGAACUGCCAUUGAUACUGAUGGUCUUGAGUACACUUGAAGUGGGCGGAAUGUGUCAUGUAGCGGUGAAAUGCUUAGAUAUGACACAGAACACCGAUUGCGAAGGCAGCUCACUAAAUUGUAACUGACGCUGAGGCACGAAAGCGUGGGGAUCAAACAGGAUUAGAUACCCUGGUAGUCCACGCCCUAAACGAUGAUUACUCGAUGUGUGCAAUACACCGUACGCGUCUGAGCGAAAGCAUUAAGUAAUCCACCUGGGGAGUACGACCGCAAGGUUGAAACUC
This 846-nucleotide ribosomal RNA is filed under the name uncultured Sphingobacteriia bacterium. Its description in RNAcentral is "bacterial SSU rRNA". It matches the Rfam family "Bacterial small subunit ribosomal RNA", at positions 58 to 902 of the family's 1533-position model. The record is from RNAcentral. Lineage: Bacteria; Pseudomonadati; Bacteroidota; Sphingobacteriia.